This 776-nucleotide ribosomal RNA is filed under the name uncultured Neocallimastigales. Its description in RNAcentral is "partial large subunit ribosomal RNA". It matches the Rfam family "Eukaryotic large subunit ribosomal RNA", at positions 26 to 632 of the family's 3401-position model. Lineage: Eukaryota; Fungi; Neocallimastigomycota; Neocallimastigomycetes; Neocallimastigales. The record is from RNAcentral.
CGCAUCUGUGCAUGCAGCAUAUCAAUAAGCGGAGGAAAAGAAACUAACAAGGAUUCCCUUAGUAACGGCGAGUGAAGCGGGAAGAGCUCAAAUUUGAAAUCUUCAAGGUUUUACCUUGACGAAUUGUAGUUUAAAGAAGUGUUUUCUGCUGAAGUUUUGGUAAAAGUUCUUUGGAAUAGGACAUCAUAGAGGGUGAGAAUCCCGUAUUUGACCAUUAUUUUCAGCUUUGUGAUACACUUUCAAAGAGUCGGAUUGUUUGGGAAUGCAGUCCAAAAUGGGUGGUAAAUUUCAUCUAAAGCUAAAUAUUGGCGAGAGACCGAUAGCGAACAAGUACCGUGAGGGAAAGAUGAAAAGAACUUUGAAAAGAGAGUUAAACAGUACGUGAAAUUGUCAAAAGGGAAGCGUUUGACACCAGUGUUGUUUUCUCGAAAAUCAAUUAAAAAUGGCUCGAUUUUGUAUUGCUGAGACCUUAAAAGCUCACUGUACAUUUUUCGAUUAUUAUUUAAUGCACUUUUCGUUUAACAAGUCAACAUCAGUUUCUUUUGUUGUAAAAGGGUAAUAGGAAGGUGGCUUUACUUUCGGUAGAAAGUGUUUAUAGCCUUUUAGCCUCUGCAAUCGAAGAGACUUGAGGUACUGCAGCGUAGAUCCUUCGGGGUUAGAUACAUUUGUGCUAAGUUAUAGCAUUUAUAGACAACUUGUUGACUAUACUAGUCUUGUAGCUUACUCGCAUAUGUUAUUUUACCUACGCUUAGGAUGUUGACAGCAGUAUAGACUGU